GAUGAACGCUGGCGGCGUGCCUAAUACAUGCAAGUCGAGCGAACGGACGAGAAGCUUGCUUCUCUGAUGUUAGCGGCGGACGGGUGAGUAACACGUGGAUAACCUACCUAUAAGACUGGGAUAACUUCGGGAAACCGGAGCUAAUACCGGAUAAUAUUUUGAACCGCAUGGUUCAAAAGUGAAAGACGGUCUUGCUGUCACUUAUAGAUGGAUCCGCGCUGCAUUAGCUAGUUGGUAAGGUAACGGCUUACCAAGGCAACGAUGCAUAGCCGACCUGAGAGGGUGAUCGGCCACACUGGACCUGAGCCACGGUCCAGACUCCUACGGGAGGCAGCAGUAGGGACUCUUCCGCAAUGGGCGAAAGCCUGACGGAGCAACGCCGCGUGAGUGAUGAAGGUCUUCGGAUCGUAAAACUCUGUUAUUAGGGAAGAACAUAUGUGUAAGUAACUGUGCACAUCUUGACGGUACCUAAUCAGAAAGCCACGGCUAACUACGU
Molecule: ribosomal RNA, 496 nt
Filed under: uncultured bacterium
Lineage: Bacteria
Description: partial 16S ribosomal RNA
Rfam family: Bacterial small subunit ribosomal RNA
Source: RNAcentral